RNAcentral lists this transfer RNA (74 nucleotides) under Promethearchaeota archaeon. RNAcentral describes it as "Candidatus Lokiarchaeota archaeon (permafrost metagenome) tRNA-Asn". It matches the Rfam family "tRNA". Rfam says of the family: Transfer RNA (tRNA) molecules are approximately 80 nucleotides in length. Their secondary structure includes four short double-helical elements and three loops (D, anti-codon, and T loops). The record is from RNAcentral. Lineage: Archaea; Promethearchaeati; Promethearchaeota.
GCCUCCAUAGCUCAGUUAGGUAGAGCACCCGGCUGUUAACCGGGCGGUCGCAUGUUCGAGCCAUGCUGGGGGCG